RNAcentral lists this transfer RNA (137 nucleotides) under Vulcanisaeta souniana JCM 11219. RNAcentral describes it as "tRNA-Val". The record is from RNAcentral. Lineage: Archaea; Thermoproteati; Thermoproteota; Thermoprotei; Thermoproteales; Thermoproteaceae.
GGGCCCGUAGUCUAGCCUGGUUAGGAUGUCCAGGGCACAAGUCCGCAGAAGCCUUACGAGCGGGAGGUCCCGUCAGGCCCUGCCUGGCUUGGCUGGGUAAGGCCUGGGAUAAGGUUCAAGUCCCGGCGGGCCCACCA